GCUGCGACGACAGCGACUGAAGCGCAGCUGGAGUGGUAAGAUGGCGGACGAGCAGCUGCAGCAGCUCCGUGCGGUGCUACAGGGGGAGGGGAAGGUGGUUUCUCCUGACACAAGCUGGAGGCCGGAGCCUGUGGCACCCUGGCUUGCCUCACUGAAGCUGGUGGCUGUGACAGGGACUGCACGGCUGCUGGAGUGGUAGAAAGGCAGCCCAGGUAGGAAGCCAUCAUUCUGUAGAAGGCAGUGACGGAACAGUACCAGCAGAAAUUGAAGGACCAGCAGAAGGGAUCAUGGCCAAAGUUGCAGUGUCCCCCCGCUCGUUGAAGAUGAGGAGUUCUCAGAGAGCGGGAUGUUUGUGACAUUCCUCAUGUCAGCUCUCGAGUCCAUGACUCUCACUCGGUCGUCCAGGCUGGAGUGCAGUGGCACCAUCUUGGCUCAUUGCAACAUCUGGCUCCCAGGUUCAAUCGAUUCUUCUGCCUCAGCCUUCUGAGUAGCUGGAAUUAACAGGUGUAUGCCAACUUAUCUGGCUAAUUUUGUUGUGUAUUUUUCUUUCAGUACAGACUGGGUUUCACCAUGUUGGCCAUGCUGGUCUUGAGCUCCUCACCUCAGGUGAUCCACAUGCCUCAGCCUCCUAAAGUGCUGGGAUUAUAGGCGUCAGCCACCGCUUCUGGCCUAGAUCAUUAACAUAUCACUAUGAUACUAAAAUUCCCUCUGCCAAAGAAAAUCUUGCCAUUUUGUGACAUGAGUUGUAUAAAGAUGUAUGUUUAUAUGCACUGAACCUGUGCACCUAGAGUUCCACCCUGCUCAUGCUAACGUUGUUCUCCCUCCCCGUACCUAGUUCUUAAAAACUCCAUGCCUUCCAUUUUUCAGGGAAAGGGUGUCUUUAGAGCAAGAACUCUUUUCUUCUCCAUCCCAGGCAGGGAAAAAACCCAC
Molecule: long non-coding RNA, 930 nt
Filed under: Homo sapiens (human)
Lineage: Eukaryota; Metazoa; Chordata; Mammalia; Primates; Hominidae
Description: non-protein coding LINC01518:7
Source: RNAcentral